GAGUUUGAUCGUGGCUCAGAUUGAACGCUGGCGGCAUGCCUUACACAUGCAAGUCGAACGGCAGCAUGAUCUAGCUCGCUAGAUUGAUGGCGAGUGGCGAACGGGUGAGUAAUACAUCGGAACGUGCCCUGUAGUGGGGGAUAACUAGUCGAAAGAUUAGCUAAUACCGCAUACGACCUGAGGGUGAAAGUGGGGGACCGCAAGGCCUCAUGCUAUAGGAGCGGCCGAUGUCUGAUUAGCUAGUUGGUGGGGUAAAGGCCCACCAAGGCGACGAUCAGUAGCUGGUCUGAGAGGACGAUCAGCCACACUGGGACUGAGACACGGCCCAGACUCCUACGGGAGGCAGCAGUGGGGAAUUUUGGACAAUGGGCGAAAGCCUGAUCCAGCAAUGCCGCGUGUGUGAAGAAGGCCU
This 412-nucleotide ribosomal RNA is filed under the name uncultured microorganism. Its description in RNAcentral is "bacterial SSU rRNA". It matches the Rfam family "Bacterial small subunit ribosomal RNA", at positions 9 to 417 of the family's 1533-position model. The record is from RNAcentral.